CUGUGAUACAGACCGGGGUGCUCUGACCCUCUGGCAGGCUCAAGGCCGGCCUCAUUGCGGGCUGACCUUCCUUCCUCGUGUCCUGCAGCUGCGUCCCUUACCCUUACCCCAAAUAAACCACCUUCCCUCCAUCCUGACCCGAGGCCCUCUCCUUUCCCAGGACAAUGGAGGCCGGCAGAACCCCCUGGAUGACCUGUUCAAUUCCCACACAAGCGAUGACUUCUAGAGUUUCCAGGUGAAUGCUCCCAAUUUCCCUUCACAACUGUACCUGUUUGCCUUGGAAUGCGUCUGCUUCAUCUGUGGAAACGUAGCCUGUGAGGACGGAGCUCUGCACUCCAAGCUCCUGGAAACAAUAACGUCCCUGGACCUCCCCAAGGGGUGUCAGAUGGAGCCUUCCAUGGGCCUACUUUUGUGUCUGAGGAGCUCCCUGAAGGACCCUGCAGCUGGGCCAGCAGAGAGCCAUCAUCCCCGGUGCCCUACUGUGGUUCAGGUGGUGUGGAACGGAGGUGUGGUGCUCUCUGUCAGCCCCGGGCCCUACCUUUGGGUCCGUUUGACUUCUCUGUUGCUGUGAUGCCCAUAUUAUCAGAACAUGAAAAAGUCAUUCCACUCAGGAUUUGGGACUGGCCAUGGCACAGUUAGCAAAACCAAUGGCCUGAGGGUUUUUCACCCUGCAUCAUGGAUCUUGUAACUCUUACCUCCCUUCGCCCUGCAUGGAUCUUGUAACUCUUACCUCCCUUUGCCCUGCAUGGAUCUUGUAACUCUUACCUCCCUCUGAUUCCUUGAAACAGUAACCAUAGAGUAUUCAAAUAAUUGCCAUGUAGGCUGCCUUCUGCCAACUGGAAAUGUCUUUUCAGAAGCUCACACACCCUGGGCAAAUCCUUUCCUCUAGAAUGAGUCCCUUGCUGUCCCUACCUGGGAAUUCCACUUCAGAAGAGGCUCUACUGAGCACUUGGGAAAAGCUCGCAUUGGCAUAUUUGCUAGUGUUUUCCAUAAAACCAAAACGUUUAAGUAGAAUAAAUAUCCAACAAAAACUAAAUUAAGUGUAUCCAUACACAGGAGCAUAUGCGGUUUUAACUUGGUAGCACAUUUGCUUACAGAUUUUCAUAUAAUACAUUGUUAGGUUAAAAAUCCAGUUUCUGACUGAACCAUAUGCAUCAUAUGACCCUGUUUUUGUAAUAAAACUGUAUUUAUAUUUACAGUUUGCAAAUGUCUAUGUAUGUAUGUGUAUAAAAAUAUAUCUGGAAGGACACAAAUCAAAAUUGAAGAAGCACUUAUAUCUGG
Molecule: long non-coding RNA, 1281 nt
Filed under: Homo sapiens (human)
Lineage: Eukaryota; Metazoa; Chordata; Mammalia; Primates; Hominidae
Description: HSALNT0157362
Source: RNAcentral